RNAcentral lists this ribosomal RNA (500 nucleotides) under uncultured bacterium. RNAcentral describes it as "partial 16S ribosomal RNA". It matches the Rfam family "Bacterial small subunit ribosomal RNA", at positions 30 to 523 of the family's 1533-position model. The record is from RNAcentral.
AUUGAACGCUGGCGGCAUGCCUUACACAUGCAAGUCGAACGGCAGCACGGAGCUUGCUCUGGUGGCGAGUGGCGAACGGGUGAGUAAUAUAUCGGAACGUACCCAAGAGUGGGGGAUAACGUAGCGAAAGUUACGCUAAUACCGCAUACGAUCUAAGGAUGAAAGUGGGGGAUCGCAAGACCUCAUGCUCCUGGAGCGGCCGAUAUCUGAUUAGCUAGUUGGUGAGGUAAAGGCUCACCAAGGCAUCGAUCAGUAGCUGGUCUGAGAGGACGACCAGCCACACUGGAACUGAGACACGGUCCAGACUCCUACGGGAGGCAGCAGUGGGGAAUUUUGGACAAUGGGGGCAACCCUGAUCCAGCAAUGCCGCGUGAGUGAAGAAGGCCUUCGGGUUGUAAAGCUCUUUUGUCAGGGAAGAAACGGUGAAGGCUAAUAUCCUUUGCUAAUGACGGUACCUGAAGAAUAAGCACCGGCUAGCUACGUGCCAGCCGCCGCCGUAA